CACCGUCGCACUGCGGGGGAGGGUACGCCUGCGCUGUUGUGCGUGCAGGGGCGUGGUGGUGCGCCAUCGUGUGUGUUUGGUAGGUGGGGUAAGCCGUGGAGCGUGCUGGGGGCGGCGUACGCGGUCUGGAGUGCGCGGAUAGUCUAACAGCAACUGCAGUUUAUGAGGUUGGCUGCCCUGCUGGAGGACAACUUGGAACACAAGUUAUGCAUCAAGCAACCAGUAUGUCAAGAACCGAGAAGAAAUAAUGUUCCACAAGGGUAGGCACAGCAGGAAGAAAACUAAAUUAAUUUCAAUUGCUGCCAGAGGAAAAAAAAGACAUUUAUUUCAGCGACUGAUACCAAAUACUGACUGUUACGAGACUGAGCACAAGAGCAAGUGACUUCAAGUUAAACCUGACCAAAUUGAUUAAUAGAAACCACCAAGUAAUUGCCUGUAAUAACAGCUGCCUGAAAGGCACUGGAAUGUUUGUAAGGAAGUCUCAAUUCCACCCAGCCCAAGCAUUUAAUAGAACCUGAAAACAAAGAGUUUGUGACUAUA
This is a long non-coding RNA of Felis catus (domestic cat), 540 nucleotides long. RefSeq lists it as uncharacterized. The transcript has 2 exons. The record is from RefSeq and is a predicted model, not a curated record. Lineage: Eukaryota; Metazoa; Chordata; Mammalia; Carnivora; Felidae.